RNAcentral lists this ribosomal RNA (500 nucleotides) under uncultured bacterium. Its description in RNAcentral is "partial 16S ribosomal RNA". It matches the Rfam family "Bacterial small subunit ribosomal RNA", at positions 30 to 523 of the family's 1533-position model. The record is from RNAcentral.
AUUGAACGCUGGCGGCAGGCCUAACACAUGCAAGUCGAGCGGAUGACGGGAGCUUGCUCCUUGAUUCAGCGGCGGACGGGUGAGUAAUGCCUAGGAAUCUGCCUGGUAGUGGGGGACAACGUUUCGAAAGGAACGCUAAUACCGCAUACGUCCUACGGGAGAAAGCGGGGGACCUUCGGGCCUUGCGCUAGCAGAAGAGCCUAAGUCGGAUUAGCUAGUUGGUGGGGUAAUGACUCACCAAGGCGACGAGCCGUAACUGGUCUGAGAGGAUGAUCAGUCACACUGGAACUGUGACACGGUCCAGACUCCUACGGGAGGCAGCAGUGGGGAAUAUUGGACAAUGGGCGGAAGCCUGAUCCAGCCAUGCCGCGUGUGUGAAGAAGGUCUUCGGAUUGUAAAGCACUUUAAGUUGGGAGGAAGGGCAGUAAGCUAAUACCUUGCUGUUUUGACGUUACCGACAGAAUAAGCACCGGCUAACUCUGUGCCAGCCGCCGCCGUAA